CAUUAGGCAGAAGCUAAAAUUUAAAAACUGACCACUUACAAGAGAAGCUAGAAAGCUUAAACAGCAAUAAGAAGCAAUUAUUUUAGGGUAAAAUAGAAAUGAGCGAAUAGGAAACAAGUAGCAGAAGUGUGAUAGUGAUACUACUAAACGUGAAUAUAAAUACACCUAAUCCGAAUUUAGCGUAACCUUUAAUAUCAUUGACGCUAUGUCCACUCUACUUCAAUCCUCUUUCAUUUCUUCUUCCUUCUCUCGUUUCUCUCCAAUCCAACCUUCCCCUCGAAUCUCUCUCCCAAACGCUCUCAGAUGUAACAAUAAUAAUAAUGUAGUAGAGUCUCUCAAUUUGGAUAACGGAAGGUUAGUUAACGGUUCAACUUCUCUUCCGAACUUCCUUGUGGCGCCUAACGCCGGCAUCCAUGAUCUCGUUAACAGAAAUCGUCUUCGAAUUUUCUCCGGCACCGCCAACCCCGCUCUCGCUCAGGAAAUUGCAUGCUACAUGGGCCUGGAACUGGGAAAAAUUAAGAUAAAACGUUUUGCCGAUGGUGAGAUAUAUGUCCAACUGCAAGAGAGUGUAAGGGGGUGUGAUGUGUUUCUUGUGCAGCCCACAUGUCCUCCUGCAAAUGAGAACCUUAUGGAGCUUCUCGUAAUGAUUGAUGCCUGCAGGAGAGCUUCAGCCAAAAAUAUUACUGCAGUUAUUCCAUAUUUUGGAUAUGCUAGAGCUGAUAGAAAGACUCAAGGGCGUGAAUCAAUUGCUGCUAAGCUUGUAGCAAAUUUAAUUACAGAAGCAGGUGCAAAUCGUGUUCUUGCAUGUGACCUCCACUCUGGGCAGUCUAUGGGCUACUUCGAUAUUCCAGUUGAUCAUGUGUAUGGACAGCCUGUUAUACUUGAUUACCUUGCCAGCAAGACUAUUUGUUCAGAUGAUUUGGUAGUUGUCUCGCCAGAUGUUGGUGGUGUAGCUAGAGCACGUGCUUUUGCCAAAAAAUUAUCUGAUGCUCCUUUAGCUAUUGUUGAUAAAAGGCGUCAUGGGCAUAAUGUUGCCGAGGUGAUGAAUUUGAUUGGUGAUGUAAAGGGAAAGGUAGCAGUUAUGGUAGAUGACAUGAUCGAUACAGCUGGAACCAUCGCCAAGGGUGCAGCUCUGUUGCAUCAAGAAGGGGCAAGAGAAGUCUAUGCAUGCACUACACAUGCUGUUUUCAGGAAUCUCGACCAGCUUUCUUUUGGUAUCUAAUGUGGUCUAUGUAUAUAGAUAGAUAGAUACAAAGAUUGGUGGACAAACAAGGGAUGUGUUCUCCUUAGGAAGCAAUCAUUCAGUCUUUCUCAUGUUUUUUCUGUAUAUUUUUUCUCUCUAAAAUUUUGGGAUCAUUAAUACAGUUGGGAAGAUUAUGAGGGGCUUCCUUUGGUCAAGGAUUUGGUAUAUUGAGCGGGAUUAUUUGGUCAGUUGGGAAAACUGUUGUAAGCCUAAUUGGAGUCUUGGACAUGGAAACAUGGUAGGAUCAUCUACUAGCUAACACAAUACUUGCAAUCUUUCCGGCAAUUUCAGAACAACUACUAUUAUUUCAGUUGAGAGUUUUUGGGAGGAGUAAAUACCCUGUGGCAUUGUACAGCUAAUGCAGUUAUGUGUUGCCUAUAGUUGGAGAGAAUGCAUAACUUCCCUCCUGCUAUAGAGAGAUUGUCAAGCGGUUUAUUUCAAGAAGUUAUCAUAACUAAUACAAUUCCGGUGUCAGAGAAGAACUAUUUCCCUCAAUUGACUGUCUUAUCAGUGGC
Molecule: non-coding RNA, 1758 nt
Organism: Cicer arietinum (chickpea)
Lineage: Eukaryota; Viridiplantae; Streptophyta; Magnoliopsida; Fabales; Fabaceae
Source: RefSeq, a predicted model, not a curated record